GACGAACGCUGGCGGCGUGCUUAACACAUGCAAGUCGAACGGUGACGAGGAGCUUGCUCCUCCGAUCAGUGGCGAACGGGUGAGUAACACGUGAGUAACCUGCCCCAGACUCUGGGAUAACAGUUGGAAACAGCUGCUAAUACCGGAUACGAGACGGAGAGGCAUCUCUACCGUCUGGAAAGUUUUUCGGUCUGGGAUGGACUCGCGGCCUAUCAGCUUGUUGGUGAGGUAAUGGCUCACCAAGGCGACGACGGGUAGCCGGCCUGAGAGGGCGACCGGCCACACUGGGACUGAGACACGGCCCAGACUCCUACGGGAGGCAGCAGUGGGGAAUAUUGCACAAUGGGCGAAAGCCUGAUGCAGCGACGCCGCGUAGGGAUGACGGCCUGGUUGUAACUCUUCUAGCAGGAGAAGCGAAAGUGACGGUACUAGCACGAAGAAGACACCGGCUAACGUACGUAGCCAGCAGCCGCGGGUAACUAAGUAAGUCGUA
Molecule: ribosomal RNA, 493 nt
Filed under: uncultured bacterium
Lineage: Bacteria
Description: bacterial SSU rRNA
Rfam family: Bacterial small subunit ribosomal RNA
Source: RNAcentral